UAGUACUUUUCUACAUAAGACUGGCAGUGCAGCUCAAGUGGCAGAGAGCCACAACCCACAAUCCACGUGUCUACAUAUACUUUACUGUUAAUUUCAUUUUCUUUCAAACAUCAAAUCUUUACUCUCUCUGCCAAUUAUUCUCACUCUCAAUAUUUCUUCAUUUCAUUUAGGCGUUUCAGCAGUGUGGGGUUUGCUCGGUUUCAUUUUCUCCAUCCCAUCCUUGACCUCAGUCCUUUAUUGUAAAAAAGAUAGGCAGCUUUACUUUCUCGCUUCUCGCUUUCCCACUUACAAGUCUUUUCUCUUGUAGCCAAAGAUGGUUUUUUCCUGUCCAAAUUCUUCAAACACUGGCUCUCGCUUUUAGGGCUAGGCUUGCUUUAGCUUCCUUCCUUACUUCCCUCGUAUAGCUUCCAGUCAAAUUUUCCUUCUUCUUCCUUUUUUUAUUUUUUUCAAUUAAUUAAUCAAUUAAUUUAUUUUUUUGUUAUCCAUAUAUCUUAUGGGUAAGAACAAAUUUAGUCGUUAUUACUCUAAGAUUGAGUUCGAUCAAGAUGCUAGAAAGUUUUUAGAACAUAAGAACAAGAUUCCAAAGGGUGUGGUGGUUGAAAGAGCUUCUAAAUCUUCAAUUAACGAAACGAUUCCUGAAGAGGAAAUUGUGAUUCAUGCUAGUACCUUUUAAUUAGGCUUGUGUCUUCCAUUCCAUGUUUUGAUUGAAGAAAUAUUGAGCAAACACGAUCUAGUCCCCACCCAAUUAGCCCCCAACUGUUGGAGGGUAAUGUUUGGUAUCAUAGCGUUGAACCAAUUAUGUAAAAUUAACUUGGGUUGGAACGAGUUUUGUCAUUGUUAUACAGUUAAGUCAAAUAGAGGUAUUUAUUAUUUUUCUCAUAAGAAGGCAAACCUGACCUGGUCACUGGUUUACCAAGAUCUGAGAAAGGAUGGGAAUCAGAUGAUUUGAUCCGUCUUAAAGGUGAUUGGGAUGAGCUGCACUCGGUACCUAGAUCUAAAACUCAUGCUGAUCAUAAACCUAAAGCUUUGAAGUCUUCGGAUGUGAACCAGUGCGAUAUUGAUAAGGCUUUGGAGUUCCAAAACAGAGAUUGGAAAUAUCUUGUUGAUCAUGCAGCUAAUUUAGAGCUGCAUAGAGAAAGUAAGAUAGCUGAUGAAUCUCAAUCUUCUCAUCUAACUGCCACUGGUUCAGCACAUAGCAACCUCGGUGGCGAUGUUUGGAGUGUGGAAGUAGGCGGCCUGACGACCACAGACGUUUUAUCGUCGCCCCCGUCGUCUUGUAAGAAACGAAAGCUGAUGCAUUGUGAUUCUAAUGCCUCACUAGCAGCUAAUUGGGUCCAUCCUAACCCUGCUCGAUCUGAUUAUUAGUCGUCCAUUCCUUCUGAAGCUGCUGCUGCUAAUUCGAAAGUUACUACUGAUUAUGUUAAUCAUGAGCAGGGAUCGGAAGAUGAAGAGACGGCUGAUCAAUCUGAGAAAAACAUUAACUCUAUUGAUCAACUUUUAAAGCACAACUUAUUUGAAGAGGCUGGUUCACAACUGGUUCCAUUUUUUUCGAAGUUUGUCGACUACUGUGUGAAUCGCAUCAACGAUCAAGAUAGAUACAUCAAGGAAUUAAAAGCUGCCAAUGAAAGGAAAGAUAAGGUACUUGAAGAAUUGAAGAUGGUGAAAGAGGAGCCAGCUGUAAUUAUUGAAAUAGCCGAAACUACCCCAGGUGCAACAAACACAGAAAGCCCUAAAACAUGUUGUAAUGAAUCGGCUGAACAACUUGAGCAAAUUUAGAAACAAAUGGAAGACAUGCAAGCUCAGAUAACAAAAAUCCAAAAACCCAAAAAGCUUCGUCGUUCUUCACGGAUGGAGACACCAUCAUCAUCUUCAUCCAAAAACGAGGAACCUCUUAUUAGUCAAAGUCCAAAUAAUCAUAACAUUGAAGGAGCUGCUGCUAGUUUUACUCCUAAUUAUCAAAAUAUUAAUAUUCCAGGCCAUGAUGAUAUUAAUGAUCACCACCUGCAGCAGCAGCAGCAGAUCAUUGAACCAGGUUCGUCGAAUAAUGAUACUAUUCCAUUUCAGCAACUAUUGGCAGAGCUUUUUGGAUAACAAUAUGCUCCAACAUUUUAUUUGACGGUUCAGAAUUUUUUGUUCACGGGCGCCAUGCCUGGAUUUUGUCAAGCCAGUUGAUGUAUACACACACACACACGGAAAGGCCACAUGUGUUGCAUGUGGACCAACUAUAAAAGUGUUGAAUAUUGUUUUAUUAAUUUUUGUUAUGUAUAAAAUUAAAAAUUUGUUGGAUU
Long non-coding RNA from Ziziphus jujuba (common jujube), 2288 nucleotides. RefSeq lists it as uncharacterized. The record is from RefSeq and is a predicted model, not a curated record. Lineage: Eukaryota; Viridiplantae; Streptophyta; Magnoliopsida; Rosales; Rhamnaceae. The transcript is spliced from 3 exons.